This is a long non-coding RNA of Sarcophilus harrisii (Tasmanian devil), 4809 nucleotides long. Lineage: Eukaryota; Metazoa; Chordata; Mammalia; Dasyuromorphia; Dasyuridae. The record is from Ensembl.
AUCACAAAUUUUUUCUUAUUUUGUGUUAUUUUUAUUGUUUUAUUGUUGUUGUUGAUGAUGUUGUUCCUGCAUCAUUUGAACAAGUCCAAACUGUAAAUCUAUACAACUUACCAAAAAAAAAAAAAAAACCUUCACCCUAAAUCCCCAUCCCUACCCCACUGAGAAACAAGAUAAAUUAAAGGAGAAAAAUCAACAUUUCUUUUUUAAAGGUAAUUAAUUUGCUUAUAUAUAUAUAUAUGUACACAUAGUUUUUUUCAUUUUUUUUCAAGUUCAAACACCAAAAUUCAAGAGAAAAAAAAAAGAAAAAUAUCACCCAACCAUCCUCCCUCCCUUUUCUUCCCCUCCCCCGCCCCUACUUCAAAAUCUCAAUGGAUCCCUGCAUAUCCAAAAUGAGAAAUACUUAUUUACAGAAAAAAAAGAACAUGGGGAAAAGAGGUGGAUGGGUGAGGCAACAGAGAGCCAGAAAGGGAGGAAGAAAAGCCUGGGGGAUGGGGGUACUUGUGAGAUUUGGGUCUCCUCAUAAAGUCCAGACAAGCCUGAGUUCAAAUGUGCUUUCCCCAGGAAAACACCAUGCUGGGAAAGUCAUGACUUUGUCCCCCUCCCCAUUUUGUUCUGGAAAGGGUGAGGCUCUGAGUUGGCAACCCAACCCCACAGUGGAUAUAUAUUCUGAGGUUCCCCUCAUCACCCCCACAAACUUACACACACUCAUGCGAACACACACACAUACACACACAUACAUGCAUCAAUCAUUGUGACUAAGUAUGAUUAUGAAGCCAGUAUUGGCUCCUUUCAAGUUGAGAAAAAGAGACUUGCCCUAAGGAGUAGGAACAAAUUACCUUCCUCUAUCUCUUUUCUGCUUUCCAAAGUAAUGUGCAGUGUAUCUCCCCUGACAUGUUUCCUCCAAGCAUCAGAGCCACUUCCUAGCACUGAUGCUAGCAUGGACAUUUGGUAACAACUCCUGCCUUAGUGACUUCUUUUCUUUUCUUUUCUCUUAACAUUAAUUAUCCAAUUCUUCAAUGUUCCCCUGGAACAACUGGUUACACCCAAUUAACCAGGUAUUCAGAAUACCCUGAGUUAGGACAAUGGGAAAUAAAGGUCUUCAAUGCCUUUUACUCGCCUUGAAGACUGGACAGUUCUUGAUGCCUUGAUGAAAACUACCAUUCACUAUUCUCCUUAGAUAUCUUUACUAUGGGGUUGUAUUAAUUUUCCGUGCAGGAUAGAGAUUGCUUACUUCAUCAUAUAGUCUUCUAACUUAGGAAUGAAAGCUUGUUGUGUACUUUUUGAUUUUUUUUCUCUUGUUUUUGUUUUCCUUUUGGUCAGAUUUUUCUUUCACACCCUGAUAAAUAUGGAAAUACGUUUAAAAGGAUUGCACAUAUUUAUAGCCUAUUGCUUGAUGUCUUGGGGAGGGUGGAAUUAAGGGAGGGAGGAAGAAAAAUCUUAGAACACAAAAGUUUUACAUAAAUGAAUGUCAAAAACUAUCUUCACAUGUAUUUGGAAAAAACAAAUAUUUUUCUUUUUCAAAAAGAAUAACAAAUAAAGAGAGCUCAUGGUAUAGUACAAACCAAAGCAGAGUGAGGGGAAAUGUCUAAUUUUGCUGAGAAUGAUAUGUGGCAUAAUAUCAAAUUAUCUGUAGUUUGCUCCAUUACUUGAGAGGAAGGCAGCAAGAAUGGUGAUGGACAAAACUUCAUAUGGACUUCAAAUUUGGAAUUUGGAAAAAUACCCCCAACAAACAUGGUAGAGUUCUGACUUCUGUUUUCUAGGACUGAUUUUUAGAGGUUAAAGAACUAUUUAUGUUUGAUAAACACACACUUAUAAUUUCCUUUCAAAGUAGCUUGCAGACUAUGGUCCUCUGAAUCCACAUACCCAAAUAGCAGAUAUAUUGACACACAUCCACACACACAUUUCUGUUUUUCUUUUUCUUAUCAAUUCUUCUGACACAAUAGAUUAGCAAAAAGCAUUCUAAAAUUUCCAAAUUGCCAUCUUCCCCUUUUCUUCUGUACAUUGCUCACCAAGCCUGCUUAGAAAGCAAAACAACAAAAAAGGCUGCUGAACCCAAUCCUUCUUCAUCCUCCAUGCUUCUCUUCAGGCUUCUGAGAAGUCUCUAAUAACUUUCCCUCAUCUUCUUGACCUUGUCCUUAUUCUAUGUCACAAAAUCAGACAAAUGACAAUGAGCUAAGGAAGAAAGUUGUAUCUACUCCCCUUUUUUAUCAGAUGGUAGUAAGCAAAACUGUUUUUUCAUUUCUAUUGACUUGACAGGGAUCUUUUUCUGAUAAAAGAGAAGAAAGUAAUAAAAGGAUUAUGCUGUGGAGAUGAUGAUAUUUCCUUUCUUCCCUAGAAAGUACUAAGUUAGUUUGGAGGAUUAACAAUGGAAAAUAUGGACUCUGAAAAUAUUUUCUUUGUAGAGGAAAUAGUCAAAUUGCUAUGUUUCUUCAUUCAAAUUUGCUAAACUACACACACACACACAGAGAACUAUCUUUUGAUUCUUCUUCAGACAGCAGCAACCUUUUUCUUUUUUAAGCCAGGGUUUAAAAAAUUCAAAUAUCUCUCCAAAACAUGAUCAGAACAGUUCCUGAUUACUUAAACAGGAUUUUAUUCAUCUCUUGGGUAAAUGUCAGGCUAACCUUAGAAGGGUCAAGUCUAAAGAAAUGCAGAGCUUCAGGAAGGCUCCAAAUAUCUGGAUACUUAAUAAAAAUUACCUUUUAAUCUUAACCUCCAGCUAACAGCAUCAACUUUUUUUGAGCUUUUUUUUUUUGAACUUCCUUUUGAUCUAAAAAUAAUCAGUGUUUAUUUUUUUAAAUCUGUGUUUUGAGUAUUGGAUCAUAUCAUAUCAUUCCAAUUUUGAAAACAGUUCAGAGAUCAUAUACUCCAAAUCCCUCAUUUUACAGAGGAGGAAACUAAAGCUUGAGAGAUAAAUGAUUUGUUUAAGGUCACAAAAGGUCAUAACUGAUGGCUUUUGGCUUUGAAACCAUGUCUUGUUAUUCUAAAUAUAAUAUUCAAUUCACUAUAUUAUACCUCCAAAUUUCUAAGCGAUGACUACUCAGAUUCCUCCCUACUGUCCUGUUCCCAGUAAUCAAUUCCCAUAGACAAAUGAUCUCUAUAUCUUAUGGUAUACUCUGCCUACCUCUCUAAAAGAAAAGAAUUUUUCAAGUUGACUUUUAUAGUUCCUAUUCUCAUUUCUGAAUCAAUAAACCCCUUGUUGAUAUUUGUAAAACUAGGUAUUAAAUCAAUUUACAUCUUAUGCAUUUGUAAUAUGAUCCAUCAGUUUCUUAGAGGAAAGUGUAAUAGCACUGGAGAUCUUGUUCUUACCAAGAUGGAAUGAAUUAUUUUCUGAUAAAAGAAAAACUAUCAUGAUCCCCUUCAAAACUUUGCAUCCAGACUUGGAAAAUUUUUAGCUAGCUAUAUCCCCCUAUUAACAUUCUCUGUCCUUAGCUAUCUCAGUUUUUUUAGUUCAAAUAAAAUAAUUUAUUAUCAGUUCAAGGAAAACUGGUGAAAUAAGAAUAUCCAAGGCUUUAAGAAGAAAUUCCUGGAAGUCUUUUAGAAGAAGAGUUCUUGUCAAAAAUUUGUAGGCCAACUGCAGAUUUGAGAGGCAAAACUGUCUUCUUGUUAGAUCUCUGAAGAAAGUCUCUAACAUCUUAAAAAUUAUUUCAUCACCAUUUCUGAAAAAUUAGUGCAACCUCUCUGAUCGAGAAAGCUACGAGAACUAUUUGUCAAUAAAUCAACUAAAAUGGCAAGGGAAUAUUUUGAUCAGGGCACAAGCUUGAUCUGAGUAUUUGUGCCAGUCUUAAGCUCCAGAACUCCUCCCUCCCUCCACAACUUUGCUCCCUGCUUAGGAGAGAUGUUUCUCAGAACAAAGUCUCUAGAAUGGCUAGUAUCAUUAAAUCAGAUUUUCAUCCUUCUCCAAAUCCAAGUACAAGUAGGCAGACUAUAUCAAAAGUGGGAAAAAUAAAACAAAACAAAGCUCAACAAUGCUUUAAGGACAAACAUUGCCUUUUUUGGCUACUGAGUAGUAUUUAUGAUAAUCUAAAACACAAAGUCUACCAGGCCAGCUGGGUAGUGGUAGCCUAUUAGACGGAAUUCCGAAGUGGGAAAUGAGCUUCCCUCAGGUCACACAGAGACUUUUUGAGUUCUAUGUAAGGGAGAAAAAUGUUCUGGAAAAAUGACCAAUACAAAUCCUUCUGCAUGUACUACAUAUAUCUUCAGCAAGUCACACUCACACAAAAAAGGUUACUUAAAAUUCCAGAGCAUAUCUCUCUCCACUAAUGGAACUGCAAACUCCUGCUGAAGGGCACUCACUUAUCUAGCACUUGACCUUGAGGAGCAGCUUUGUUCACAACCCUCUAUUCUCUCCCAACCUGAAACAACUGAAAAGCCAAGGGUAAAUUGCUGCCGAGAAUGUCUAUUUUCUUUGACCUAUGUGCUCCAAUGAAAAGGAAGACCAACAACUUAGCCCAUAUUAUUCCUGCAUAAGUAGACAAAAGAGAAGGGCCGUAUAGGUACUGAAGGAGUUAAGAAACCUGGAAAGUAAAAAGGUAUCACCAUGUAGAGAACCUGAAAGAAUUCUCCCCAACUUCAAUUCACUUUUUUCCUUUGAUGGCUAUAAACAGAGAGAUGACCUAUUUAUUAGGGUUAUCAUGCUUUCGUCCAGAGCAUAGCACAUCAGUAAAGACUGGAAUCAUGGCAGAGAUCCAAAGGGUAAAAGAGUCCAGAUAUCUCGUUAGACUUUUGUUUUUUUGUUUUUUUUUUAAAACAUAACUAAGAUGGAAAGUAUUCUGACUUCUAUUCAUCAUCAUCAUAUAUCUUUCUCCUUUG